GUGUCAGCAGCCGCGGUAAGACAGAGGGUGCAAACGUUGUUCGGAAUUACUGGGCGUAAAGCGCGUGUAGGCUGUUCUGCAAGUCGGGUGUGAAAGCCCCGGGCUCAACCUGGGAAGUGCACUCGAAACUGCAGAACUCGAGUCCUGGAGAGGAAGGCGGAAUUCUCGGUGUAGAGGUGAAAUUCGUAGAUAUCGAGAGGAACACCGGUGGCGAAGGCGGCCUUCUGGACAGUGACUGACGCUGAGACGCGAAAGCGUGGGGAGCAAACAGGAUUAGAUACCCUGGUAGUCC
RNAcentral lists this ribosomal RNA (292 nucleotides) under uncultured bacterium. RNAcentral describes it as "partial 16S ribosomal RNA". It matches the Rfam family "Bacterial small subunit ribosomal RNA", at positions 505 to 796 of the family's 1533-position model. The record is from RNAcentral.